AGGUUUUCAAUACACCUCAGUCCGAUCAAUCCCCUUACGCUUUCAGUACCAUAAAUUCUCAAGCACUUUGCCGGACCCUAAUUCAUCAAUGAAAAUUUUAUUAUAAGUAGGCCAAAAGUCCAUAGUUAUGAACGUGAAUCUCUCAAAUCCCCCUAAUGGCGCUCUGGUUUAGUGGAGUUCAAUACAGCCCGGUGGGUAGCGCAUCCGGUGUUGGAUUCAGAUUCCAAAUUCGAUGAGUUAGAUGUUCCGGUAGCGCAUCCUGUUUUUGGAUUCGUUUCUAUGGCGAACAACGAACACCAACGCGGUGGUGUUCCAGUUAGUCGUACUUGACACGACAAUGUGGCAAUGGAAGAUUUGGGGAUUUAGGGUUCAUGAAGAAAAAAGGUGAAAUGAUGCAGAUGUAGAUGAGACCUUGUUUGGAUGAAUUGAAAAGCUUUUUCUUCGAAUGAACACUCCAAGGAUGAAGCAUGGGGAGUUGGAAAACCGAGGCAUAAGAGGGUUGCGAAUUUUAUCGGAUAUUGCUGUGAUGGGGAUGAAAGGCUGCUUGUUGCAGAGUAUAUGCCUAAUGAUACUUGGACGUCUGUUAUCUUUUGCUGAUUGAGGUAGAGGCCCGUUCAUAUUGCCACCAACAAAGUAUGUGCUAAUAAAGUAUGUUGAACAAUAUAUACAUGAGCAGUUCAAAGGUGAUCUUCUGGACUAUCUCAAUGACUUCGGAAUCAGUUUUAUUCUAUAGUUAUGCAGAUACAUGAUUCAAGGUUUGGGAGAGUAGAAAGAUGGAGCCGAAUGGGCUUAUGGUUACUCGCCAAGAGUCCAAUCGCUGGUCAAAUCUGUCUUGCAAGGUUUGGGUCUUAUCAGGAACCCUGGAAACAAGGCCAUUGCUUCAGUUUCGAAAAGGUUUAAGCUAUAGUUCAGAAACAAGAUUGCCCUGUCGGUCAACACUUGGGAGCGUCUUUUAGGCGAGCAUGAAUCGCCCAUUGAAAUAGCCUUGGUUGAUGCUCGUAGUGACCAGAUAGUGGAUACCGGGCCUAAAUCUGCUGCAAAACUGAAAAUACUGGGAUUUUGAGUUGGUGACGGUAACGAUGAUGGUAGUUGGUCAUACGAACACUUUCAAGAAAGCAUUCUGAGCGAACAGGAAGGGAAACAACGAAUGCUUCAAGGAAAUACUUGUUUGCAGCUAAACAAAGGCGUUUGUUAUGUUCGUAACAAGAUUUCUUUUACUCAUAGUGCGGAACAUACUAGAAAUGGUCUGUACAGACAUGUGAUUUGAUGAAUGGAGUGGAAGUAGCAACGACGGAAGCAUUUGUCAUGACGAAUGCUUCAACCCAUUUGACUUUUA
Long non-coding RNA from Helianthus annuus (common sunflower), 1336 nucleotides. RefSeq lists it as uncharacterized. The record is from RefSeq and is a predicted model, not a curated record. The transcript has 5 exons. Lineage: Eukaryota; Viridiplantae; Streptophyta; Magnoliopsida; Asterales; Asteraceae.